UUAUUGGAGAGUUUGAUCCUGGCUCAGGACGAACGCUGGCGGCGUGCCUAAUACAUGCAAGUCGAGCGGAGUUUAUCCUUCGGGAUAAGCUUAGCGGCGGACGGGUGAGUAACACGUAGGCAACCUACCCUCUAGACUGGGAUAACUACCGGAAACGGUAGCUAAUACCGGAUAAUUCCUUGACCCACCUGGGAGAAGGAUGAAAGGCGGAGCAAUCUGCUGCUAGAGGAUGGGCCUGCGGCGCAUUAGCUAGUUGGUGGGGUAACGGCCUACCAAGGCGACGAUGCGUAGCCGACCUGAGAGGGUGAACGGCCACACUGGGACUGAGACACGGCCCAGA
Molecule: ribosomal RNA, 340 nt
Filed under: Paenibacillus riograndensis
Lineage: Bacteria; Bacillati; Bacillota; Bacilli; Caryophanales; Paenibacillaceae
Description: bacterial SSU rRNA
Rfam family: Bacterial small subunit ribosomal RNA
Source: RNAcentral